CCCGGUGACUUUACUGGAGGGGCCACACCUGUUCCCAUUCCGAACACAGAAGUUAAGCCCUCCGAGGCCGAUGGUACUUACCCCUUCGGGGUUGGGAGAGUAGGAAGUUGCCGGGU
Molecule: ribosomal RNA, 116 nt
Filed under: candidate division WOR-1 bacterium RIFOXYA12_FULL_43_27
Lineage: Bacteria; Bacillati
Also listed under: 3 other names
Source: RNAcentral